This is a long non-coding RNA of Hipposideros armiger (great roundleaf bat), 1298 nucleotides long. RefSeq lists it as uncharacterized. The record is from RefSeq and is a predicted model, not a curated record. The transcript is spliced from 2 exons. NCBI's taxonomy places the organism in Eukaryota, Metazoa, Chordata, Mammalia, Chiroptera, Hipposideridae.
AAAGCUAAGUUCUGGCCUCAGCUGUACCAACAUCUGUUUGGCCGACCUGGAGGGUUUUCAUCUAUACCUUUAAUCACACUGAUCUCAAAUCGCCUUCUACAUUAGAACAGGAGUUGGUAAGCCUUUUCUAAAAAGGGCCGGGGAGUAAACACGUUAGGCUUUUCAGGUCAGACAGCCGCUGUCACCACCAUUCAAUCUGCCAUUACCGUGUGCACGUAGGCAUGGAUGCUCUGUAGACCAAGGGGCAAGACUGUGCCAAUAACACACUACAGAAACAGACGGUGGGCUGGAUUUGGCCCGUGGACCCGAGUCUCCCGACACCUGACUUAGACCCCUGGCUUGUGUGUUGCGCUCCGCCUCACGCCUCCCUGCUCACUGCCUCUCCCACCUGGUCUUUAUUUUCUGGUCUGUUUUGCUUAUCUCUUCCUGUUGCCUUUUCUGUAUCCCACCCCGACCCAUAGCCCUACGCAGUCUUUUCAUUCCCUCCCAUGGGAACCCACCGGUGGCCCCUUUGAGGCCCCCGCUCCCACAGAGCAAAGCUUUCCACUCACCUUGCUCUCCGGGUUGUUGCAGACCUCAGGGAGUCAAGCGCACAAAGAAGCUCAGAGCGCAGGGUCCUUUUAUCCUGUCUCAGCCCGGCAGGAGGAAACCAAAGGGGUUUCCCCAGCGUUUCCUGGUGUCCCGAUGUCUCAUCCAGUUCUCAACACUGUCACACUCUCUCUUGGCCUGCACAUCUCCAGUUUGGCAGCUUUUGGGUGAAGAACAUUUCUUAAGAUUUGGUUGUUCUACAAUUCAGUUGUAAUUUUGAUGUGUUCACGGGAUGAGGCUGGCAUAGCGUUUACCUACCACGGCAUCUUGGAUCUCCUUCCGCCUCCAACGUUUCUGAUGAGAAUUUGGCUGAAAAUCUUAUUGAGGAUCCCUUGUAUGUGAGAGUCUACUUGUGUUUCAGAUUUGGCCUGAUCCUCUCUCUCGACUGUUUGCUGACAAUGUGUUUCGCUGUGGAUUUCUUUGGACUUAUCCUACUUGGACUUGUUGAGCUUCUUGGAUGGGUCGUUUUGACUUUUCCAGAAGUCAUAUAAAUGGACUCAUAUAGCAUGUAGCCCUUCAGGCUGACUUCUGUUACUUAGCAAUUUGCAUUUAACAUUCAACAAUGUCUUUUUGGGCUUGAAAUUUCAUUUCUUUUUAUGACUGAAGACUAUUCCAUUGUAUGGGUGGUGUACCAGUUUAUCCGAUCAUCUAUUGAAGGACGUCUUGAUUGCUUCCAGGUCUGGAAAUUCUGAAUAAAGCUUCUAAAAACA